Long non-coding RNA from Aedes albopictus (Asian tiger mosquito), 2047 nucleotides. RefSeq lists it as uncharacterized. The record is from RefSeq and is a predicted model, not a curated record. The transcript is spliced from 3 exons. NCBI's taxonomy places the organism in Eukaryota, Metazoa, Arthropoda, Insecta, Diptera, Culicidae.
CAAACGAAGAUACAGACGGAGCAGUAAUCGUUUUUUUCGGUCGCACCUACUUUCGCAAGCCCCUCUUGUAUUAUGUAAUUGCGCUUUGGUGAACCCCUUGAACGGGCGAAAACUCAGCGAACUGUCAUGCGACUUGUCACUGAGCGAACUGUCAAGCGACUUGCUUGUUUAUAAACAUUGAAAGUGUUCUGCUUUUUGCUCCCCCAAAACUCAAGCCGGUCGGGGUAGAAUCCCGAAACACCGGAAAAAUAGAACCUCCGGAAAGCUUCGAUCCCUUCAACGGACGGAGUGAACUACGACGGGUACACUUUCGAUACGGUAUUCGUAGAGUACGUGAAGGCGCAAACGAACCGGCUAGGAGCGCAUCAUGUGCGACGGAGGGUUCUUCGUGAAUAACAACUCAGGAGAUUAUCUCGAAGCAGCUGUACUUGUAGUGCUACUGGCAUUGGCAAUGAUCCGAGCAGGAGGGAACAUUAAUAUGAAGAAUAUCCGCAUUUAUUGAGGAGGCUUCUUUCUUCAAUCGACAAUCCGGAUCAAACGAUCGGUGCAUGCACCGCAUGCAUGCAUGCAUGACGCUGUGGCGUCACUGAAAGUUGUUACAAAAAACGUCUCACCGACGGAUGGAUUCGUGCGCCAGGCCAGCGUGGAGUUCGGAACGACCGCUGAAUAAGUCCUUCGGAAAAUCAAACGAUUGGUUCUUUAUGCCGGUGGAUGUAACGGCCGAUCAAGAUAAACGUAUUCGGACGAGUUUUCUGAGCAACGGCAAUGUGUUAUACCUACUACGAUCAGGACAAGUCCGGUUGGACGCAAAUUAAGAACAUCCAAGUAAUUCUAUCGCCGCGGAGGGUUUUAUACGGGGAAAUUAGAGGAAAGUUCGGCCGAGGUAAGCCACCAUAGCAGGGCAAGUUUAAUACCUACCUUAUUAGGUAUUUCUCCGAUUAUCUGUCUACAAGAAUUUUACAUUUUCCCAUAAAAUUUCCGUGUUUCCGCUUCCAGGAUCUAGUACGCCAAAGCCAUGAUCGACCGCUGGCUGGUCCAUCAAAAUGCUUCCUCUUUUCGGCCGGUCCCGGUCCGGGGCAAGACUUAACUUCCGAUGAUGAAACUAGAUGGCUUCUUCAGCAAUGUCUCGAUCCACGAGCUGAUUGACGGCACCAAUGUGCUCGGGAGCAACUUGGAGCGUUUCGACAUGGAAGCUUCGCGGUUCUACAUUCCCCGAGGGCCGUUCUUCGUGCGAAGUGUGCUGACCGGUUCGAAGUGAGUCGAGAAGCAGCUUUGGCAGCCGGAUGCUGUGGGCCUGGAGCAAAACCAGCUACAUCUACUCGUCGGCGCAGCGGUUCGAGGCGCCCAAAGAACCGACACUGCGGUCUACCGGCAGGAUUUCGCGGAUGGUUCUAUACAGAGAAAUUUUUGAAGAAAAUUCUGCCAAAGCAUCAAACGCAGAAAAUCGAUCAUGCACAUCUUCGAUGCAGUGCUCUUGGGUGGUCUGGAAAUUCACCGAAGCCUUGAAUCGAGGCCCAUCAAAAUGGUUCCGUUGGCCUGUUCGGCCGGUGCAAAACUUUACUUUUAAUGAUGGAACUAGAUAGCUUAUUCAGCGAGGUAAUCGACAGCGCCAAGGUGCUCGAAAGCGACUUGAAGCAUUUCGAUGGGGCGGAAAUAAAGCUGUUCUACCUUCUCCGAAGGUCGCUCUUCGUGCGGAGUGUGAAGAAGUUCGAAAUGUGCCGAGGAGCAGCUGGAUUUUCGGAAGACUCGGCAGCUGGAUCAUGUGGACCUGGAGCAAAAAGAACCAGAUCUACUCGGCGCUGCCGUUCAAGGCGCCCAAAGAACCGAAACUGGUCUACCGGCAGGAUUUCGAUGCAUUCAUUGAGAAAUGCUCCGAUUUAAAGUGAGUGACGUGAAGUGGCGCUAUGUGUAAGGUAGUUUCGGAAUAAACUACCCAGUUUUAAAUUUAAGUCUCAGUAUGUAUUAUGAUGUUCAAUUAAUGUUCACAAUAAAAUAUCUUAUCUCUACAGUUAGGCACUCGGCUUGAAAUAAAAGCUAUUGUACUCAA